This 100-nucleotide small RNA is filed under the name Pan troglodytes (chimpanzee). RNAcentral's name for it is "processed transcript". The record is from RNAcentral. Lineage: Eukaryota; Metazoa; Chordata; Mammalia; Primates; Hominidae.
CCUCUUUUAGCCCCUUUCAAUGUUCUGGUGUGGACAGAUUUCUACAAUGAUUCUCCACAUGUCACUAUCUGGACUCUACUGCUUAGAUCUCUUGUAAAAC